Molecule: long non-coding RNA, 1470 nt
Organism: Photinus pyralis (common eastern firefly)
Lineage: Eukaryota; Metazoa; Arthropoda; Insecta; Coleoptera; Lampyridae
Exons: 3
Source: RefSeq, a predicted model, not a curated record
CUCGAGAUGUAAUCUUGGUGCUCAGGCAAUAAUACUGUACUUCUCUACCUUGAUAUAUAAUUUACUAUUAUAGCACUAGGAAGUGGUGUCUAAUAAUAUCAGAUGCUAGGAUAAAACCUAGACCCUAUCAAGUUGUUCACUUAAAGAACUCGGAUUUUUUUAAUUUGCAGAAUCUUGUUGAUGACGUUAUGACAAACAGUACUUUAAAUUGUGUUGGGAAUAAGGUUGAACGGAGUUCUGUUCAGCUUACAUCUAAAUAUGCCAGUCGCAUUCCUAUUUCUGACAAAAAGAAGAGUGACCUUGUUUAUUUACUUAAUCAAGAGAUUAUUCCCGAAGAGUACACCGAUUUUGUUACUAGCCUUCCUUCAACAUAUGAUGACACGCAGCUAGCAGUACACAACGAGGGAGACUAAUCUGCAAUGCAAAUAUUUUUAAAGACGUUUUUUCUUGUUUAGUACCCUAAGAUGGAACUGUCCCGUUCGCUCAGCCCUCUAAUAUCUGCUUCUUCUUCAUUGGAUGAUGACAUAAAUAUAACCGAGCGCAGGAAACGGAUACGAAUAAUGCACUACAUGGAUACAAUUACUUCAUAUUCAGAUGAAGAGUUAAAACAACAUUUCCAUUCCGCUUAAAAAGAGAAACAGCAUUAAAAUUAAUUGUUAUAUCGCCCCAGUAUUAAAGCCUAUAAAGGAGAUGGAAUCAUAUUACAGCCGAAAAAGCCAUUUAUAUCAUAAUCUGGUAUUUGUCUAAUAUGGAAACAUUUCGUCAAAUAUCUGAUUGGUUCGACGUGACUUUGAGUUGUGCAAUCGUAGUACUUGACUUUUUUGUUAACAACAGUUCCAAAUUUAUAAAAUGGCCAUCAUAGCAAGAAGCCAAAGAAGAGGCUUAUUAUUUUGAAAAAAAAGGUAUCGCCAAUGUUAUAGGAGCAAUUGAUGGCCGCCAUAUAAAAAUACAUAGACCUGUUACUCACGAAUAAGAUUACGUGAAUAGAAAAGGUUAUCAUAGCAUAAUAUUACAGGGUGUGAUCGAUUCAAAAAUGAAGUUCAUAGAUGUUUCAACUGGCCAUCCUGGAUCAGUCCACGAUGCGAGAGUUCUUAGAAAAAGUUACAUGUAUAAUGCAGCAGUUGAAAACUAUCAGACUACGUUUUUUAGUACCGCCUAUGUGGGCGAUUCUGCGUAUCCCUCAAUAAGAUGGCUUGUGGUUCCUUAUAAGGAUAAUGGGCAUCUUAAUGAUGAACAAAGGGAUUAUAACUACAGGCAUUCUGUAACUAGGAUUAUAGUGGAGCAUGCUUUUGGAGCAUUGAAAGGAAAGUUUAGAAGAUUAAGAUAUUUUGAAAAUUUAAAGCCAACAUUUAUCAUAAAAUGUGUUGUUGUCGCAUGUGUUCUGCACAAAAUAUGUUUAAUGGAUAAUGACAUUACCGAAAAAAUCUAUGAUGACGAAAUAAAUGAGUAACUUUUAUUAAAUAUCUUUAA